This 400-nucleotide ribosomal RNA is filed under the name uncultured bacterium. RNAcentral's name for it is "bacterial SSU rRNA". It matches the Rfam family "Bacterial small subunit ribosomal RNA", at positions 359 to 776 of the family's 1533-position model. The record is from RNAcentral.
GAAUUUUGGGCAAUGGGGGAAACCCUGACCCAGCAACGCCGCGUGAAGGAUGAAGUUUUUCGGAAUGUAAACUUCGUAAGAAUAGGAAGAAUCAAUGACGGUACUAUUUGUAAGCUCCGGCUAACUACUUGCCAGCAGCCGCGGUAAUACGGAGGGGGCAAGCGUUGUUCGGAUUUACUGGGCGUAAAGGGCGCGUAGGCGGCGUGGUAAGUCACUUGUGAAAUCUCUGAGCUUAACUCAGAACGGCCAAGUGAUACUGCUGUGCUAGAGUGCAGAAAGGGCAGCCGGAAUUCUUGGUGUAGCGGUGAAAUGCGUAGAUAUCAAGAGGAACACCUGAGGCGAAGGCGGGUUGCUAGGCUGACACUGACGCUGAGGCGCGAAAGCCAGGGGAGCAAACGGG